Molecule: small nuclear RNA, 19 nt
Filed under: Arabidopsis thaliana (thale cress)
Lineage: Eukaryota; Viridiplantae; Streptophyta; Magnoliopsida; Brassicales; Brassicaceae
Description: snRNA_18337
Source: RNAcentral
UGAGUCUACCCGAAGGCAG